Molecule: long non-coding RNA, 10537 nt
Organism: Bombus huntii
Lineage: Eukaryota; Metazoa; Arthropoda; Insecta; Hymenoptera; Apidae
Exons: 2
Source: RefSeq, a predicted model, not a curated record
AGACGAACGUACUCUCUAGGACGAAUCAUUAUAGCGAGUCACACAGUCGAAUAGCGAGCGUAGAGUUGAGCAGUAACAUUGAGCGAGCGACGAUUACGACCGACAUACGCUACCUCUGUACUCGUAUUUAACGUGAUUUUAAUAUACACUGAUUAUUACAAUUUUAUCAUUCGUCUCUUUAAUAAACCAACGCGUAUAAUAAUCGUUGAGAUUAUUCGAUGUGUAAACAGAGGAACUGGUGGAUAAAUUGUAAGGUAGAAAAUAUAUUUAAAUAGAAGUGUAAUUAUAAGUAAGAAUACAAUUUGAGCUGGUCCAGAUCCGCACGCUAGCUGUGUUACCCAAUAACUGAAAAACACUGAAGCCAACGUCGCCUGUCUACCGUUUAUGGUCUGUCUUCGUCGCAGUCUUUUGUCUACGCGCUGUCGAUGGCUUCGGUGCUCGAGAAAACUAAAAAAAGACCAGAUGUAGAGUUUUCUUAGAAGUGGUGACCACUUCAACGAUAAUCCAUCUCAAAAAGCCCAUUUGUACCUCGAGCAAGUUCCAAAACCCAUAAACUUUUCGGCUCUGCGAAAGAAGCGUAAUUUUGACGCGGAAAAGAAAACAGAAGAUACGAAGACGAGUCACGAGAGAAAUAAGAUUCGUUAGCUUAAUCAGUGGAGAGUAUGAAAAGCUUAAGACGGCGAUGCACGACCUAUCAACCGGACGAAACACGCCAUUGCCUUUAUCGUCGACGCACCGCGUGCCUCAAGAUUAAUGCUGCUUUGCUGUUUAGAUCGUAAGCGCAAGGUGAAACUACGCACAGUACAAAGUCGCUUCUUAGCGGAGGGGACGACAAUUCCGUGGAAGGCCAUUUAUGGGAUUGUCCAUUACUGGUAGCAGGUGACUGCCAUGCUGCUACCUCAAUGACUAUCCAUCAAGCGUUUGGAAAUAUGUGGGUCAGCCGUGAAGUUAAUCCUCGAUGAUCGGGAAGAGUGAUAAAUUAAGCGCAAAGUUAUGGCGCCCACCUUUGACACCACGCACCAUUUAUUGUUCCAUUAACGUAACUAUGGCCGUGUCGCGAAUAGAAAGCGCUUUGAAUAACUCGGUUCAAAUGUCCCAUAUUAAAUUAGUUUCCUUUGUAACGUCCGUUGCACAAUUCAUUGGCAGCUUAUGGAAUUCUAACAGGACCUAUCCACAGGAUUAUUAUUCACGCGUAUGAUUUAUCGAUACGUCUUUGGUUCGAUGUUGGUAAUUGAACCGUGGCGAUAAAUAUCGGCCACGUUUUUAUGGUGGUCCUACCAUUUAUUCUCAAUUAAUACAGAUGAGCCGUAUUAAUUAUUUAGCGCAAGGUAAUAAUUUAAUUAUGGAAAGAUCGCUUUUUUUUUUAUUACUCCGUCGGAAUAACUUUCUUCGUCAUUUUUGCAAGAUUGUUUAAUCGCGUUUUUCGAUAUCGAGAUUAUUACGAGACGCGCAAUUUAAGCGUUCCGAUUAAUUUUUUCAACAAAUUUUUUUUUAACAAUUCUUCUUUUUUCCGGUUACUGCUGUAAGUCCUUGGUAACGGUCUCCCUUCCUUUUUGACGAUGACUCGACUACAAUAUCUUCCGUGUAAUGUUUACUGAAUUUUUUAUUUCCCUAUUAUAUUACGAUGACUGUUACAAAUUCUAUAAAAAAUCGUCGAAGAAGAAGCCGAAAGUGGAGGGUCUUUCGAAGUGUAUUUCAUGAUUUUCUAAAAGUGGCUAAAUAUGAAAAUUGAAGGCAAGGUGUUACUGAUAGGUGAUGGAUAAGUCAAAGGAGAAAACGUGGCAAUUUUAUUAAUGAAAAUACGCAACGAAUAAUACAGGUAUUCGUAAUGGACAGGAAGAUUGCUGUAACGCAUACUUAUAAAUAACCAACUUCCACCGGUAGAUAAUUAUGUACGUUUUUAUAAGUCGCGUCGUACAUUGCGAGCGAACACUGGUAUGAAAAAUCGAUGCAGUCGUACCCUUUGCGGUUAAUUUCAUUUCUCAACUCUGGGGGCAAUUUGCAUGGUGCGGCAAUAUUUUAUAAAUUUUCAUAAGUCUCGCGUUUCAUUAACCCUACGGCCUGGAUUUAAAUGACUCUUAAACGAUGCAACGUACAAACACUCAUAAAUCACGUUCUGUGUUUCCAGUUGGUCGAAAAAAAUUCACAUCGUGGCCACUUUCACGAAGUUUCAGAUAUUCGUGUUUCUUUAAACGAUACAACAAUUUCAGUGCCAAAAAUUCACGAUUUAACGGAAUAGCUUGGGAUAAAUCAACGUUCUACGUUGUAGUCUAAUUCGGUAAGUUUUUAUCUACGAAACUGUUAUUCCGUUAAAUUCUCCUUUUCCUAAGUUUUCUUCUGGUACUCUCAUUUUUCGAUCCUAAAACGUGUUUCAUUUUCUCUGUUUUUCCUCUUGGAAUAACCGAAACACGUCGCGAAAUAAACAAAAAUUACUAAAAUAUUCUAACACUGACCAAGAAUCCACCGACUUUGUCCUAACUUUUCUAAUCCCUUUUUUUUGCAUUUGGAUGGAUUUUUAUCUAUUUAUGAAAAUUCGAAGGAUGUGAAAACGCGUAAAAUAUCGAAGGCGGUGGCGUACCCGUUCUGAUACUUAAUAAGCGAAACAAAUUCCUGUUUAGAUUCCGUUUCUUCGGUCAUAUUCGUAAAACACAUUCGCAUAAAUUCACAAGUCCGCGUAUCGCGGAAAAAUUCUCAUUCAAUCACACUCGCUCGAACCUAAAUCAAUUUUCCUCGAUACUUACUUUUCCUAUCAAUAUCGGGUCUCUCAAUAUCGAGCCUUUUCCAUACUCUCUCUCUUCUUACCUUUAUACGCGAUCGUUAUCUUUAUUCGAUCGUUAGAGAUUCUCACGAAACGGACCGCGUUGCAACAUUUCCAUCUCUCCUACGCGCGCGCGUAACUCGAGGGAAGAUCAGCAAACGGGAUAACGCGAGAUCGGUAUCAGAGGCUGCCGCGCAUUCCGCCGGCCUGUUACAAGCAUUGGGACAUCGGAAACACCGCCUUUAACCCGAGUCUGCGCUCGCUGGAAUCCGUCCAGCUAUAGAGACGAGACAACCGGAUCGCGCUACGAAUACGGAAUCCGUUGUUUCCGUAUUAUAUUUCGCCAUUAAAUUGUGAUGGUGUCUGCUCUUUAACAGCGACGUACGCAGGAGAAAAACUUAUUCGUGAACCGAGAUACGAAUAGUCGAAUUAGGAACGGAAAGGUCGGUUAACGAGCGUAAAAAUCAUCGAACUGCUUGAAAACCGCGCGCCCUCGUCUCUUUGUACACAUGCCGGUACUUUCGUUCGUCUAUUUACGUCGCAGUUAUUUAUCUUUACUACUACCUGUCUCCGGAGCGUACAGUGUUACGCGCGUAACUGCACGUAUCAGCGUUGAAUCCCAAUUGCUUCUCCGUUUCAGUUUUUGUCGGAGAAAAUUGUGAGACGUAGUUUGGUGAGAUUGAUUGGUUGCAGGAUAGGAGAUUUCGGUCUUGUUCUUUUAUUUGCGAUGUUUGUUGGAUCUCUGUAGGUGCUGCGUUGAUGUUACUUUGGAUUGUAGGGGCGAAAGAUCGGUGUAAAUUGUUAGUUAUUAAUCGUGUGUUGCGUAUGUUGUCUCAGAAACUUGUUAAUGUCUUGCAGAAUAAAAUAGAAUAAAAUAAUAGAAAUAACUGGUAGGGAAAAAUAGGGUGGAAUUUAAUAUUGAUUUUCCUUUAAGGAAUACAGGAUUUAACUCGGAGUAUAAUUCAAAUUAUCUUAAUACAACGAAUGAUAACAAAUGAUGUUUUAAUACAGAUUGUAAUAAGAAUCAAGUUAUCUGAGAUAGCAGUAAGAAGAGUUUUUUCAUUCUAUUUAAACGAUAUGUGAUUCCGUCCGUGCAAAUAACACAAAUUUGACAAUCCUUCGCUAUUCUUUAAUCUAAAUAUACAAAUUUAAAACAUUCAAUCGAAAUUUACAUAUAUGGGUUUGAAAUAUAAAUUUAAAUUUCCAUAUGCAAAUUAAAGAGUCGCAUUCCAUAUGAAAUUUUCUACGCGAAAUUCAAUCCAAUUUUAAUAUCGUAAAACAUCAGCGCUGCUAAUUUCGCAGUUGGUAUCUGCAGAUUAAUUUUCAGAACACCCUUAUAAAAAGUAUAACGAAUGAGAUAACAGCACAUAGCCAUAUCAUAAAUAUUAAUAAAAAUAUUUGAUAUUUAUAAAAUGUUUAUUUUUUAUAAAAAUUACUCCACAUAGAAGCGGUAUAUAGCAUAUAAAAUAUUACCUGUUCAAAGAAAUACACCGCAUCCUAUGAAAAUGUACAGCAUAGAAGUCGCAAAGCAUUUGUUUCAAAAAUAGCAGUGGAAGAUUAGUAUACACUAUGAAUAGCCAUCUGAAACAUACCAAUAACAAAUGUUAAAAUAUGGCUUGUGUAAAAUAUACUUACAUUAAAUAUACUUAUAUCAAAUGUCAUGUAACUUCUAUAUAUAUGUAUAUUUCCAGAUUUGUUUCAAACAUUACCAAUACAAUCGUGAUAGACGAGUCUCGUAAAAGUGCUAAGAAAAUUUCUAAAUGUCUAAAAUACAGUACACGUAAUAUUCAAAUACUUUCAAGUUGGAAUACUUUCACGCGCCUAUGCUUCGAUAAAUAUGGACGAAAACGUUAGGAACGCGCCAAAUCUCGUAACUCUCCGACAUAUACGUAAGUUUCAUUUGAGAUAGAAGAGAUAUUUUGAAAUAACUCGCAAGGAACAACCGUCGGAUUUCAUUUUCAACGAACUCACGCUGCGACCGGAUUACAGACGCGCAAUAUAAAUAAUAAACUGCGUAAUUGCCGUUAAAUUUUCAAACGGUCUGCCGUACUGUGGAAAAUAAACGUAUUAGACAGCUAGCUGGAAGAUUUAGAAGUCUGGUUCAUCGGUCGAAGAAACGGAGGAACAGUCUUUAUACGGUCGCCCUUAAAUCCGCUAAAUGUCCGACCGUUUCUCGCGCUCUUUCGGUCUCGAAUUUGCGUAUCUUGUACGUCACCGUGAUUUACCGCUCCCUCGGUCCUCCCACUUUCUGAAUUCCCUAGAACUCGCGUAGAGAACGUACCUACUCGGAGAAUGUAACGGUCGAGUAACCAUUCUCGUUGACUUUUUAUCCGUUUUAUGACGUUUUCGACGUUAAUGGAUGGCCUCUUUGAUGGAUUCAUGGAGGAGUAAGUGGAAUAAGAUGAGAGGUUUUACGGACGGAUAUGUGAACGGUCUAUUGUUUUCAAGAUGACGAUUGUGCGUGGUACUUUAUGUGUAGCUAAAGAUUUAUUUAUUUGUCGCAAGAGUAGAUACGUAGCUGAAGGUUUAUUUCACGUAGUUAUUUGGCUGAGAUAUCGAUUGUGAAUCAGAAUCUUGCGACAAGUUUCUAGGAAUGCUAUAUUUAUGACAGUGAAUCUUUUUUUUUCAUAGCUAGGAUGCAUAGGGAAUUGAAUAUAAGCACGUGGAUUGUACAUAAUAAAAGGGAGUGGUUCUUUUGUGCAGCUAAUAACGGACAAAAUAUAUGACAAAUUGUUCAAAUUAAUUGUAAAACAGAUUGAAAUAUACGUAGAAUGAAUCUUCUAUAGAAUACCUAUGAUAUAUAGAACACACGAGAUUUUAUUAUCAGCACUUUAUUUCAUCUGUGCUCUUUCGUAAAUUUUCUAAAAGGAACAGUUGUACAAAACAGAUUCAUUCGAUAUUUUUUCUUAAUCUUCGCGUCAACGAUCUUCCACUUCUUUAAUAUUCAUUUUUUUCCAACGAAUGACCAUUUGCUUGUACAUCUUUUAAAUAUUAAACUAGUUUGCGCAAAGCACUAUUACGGUAUAGAACUAUCAACGACUAAAGUACAAUUUGUAUGAAAUAAAUAAAAAGGAAAGACGUACGAAGAGAUACGUUUUACGGAAUAUCACUCAAAUGCACAAAAUCCAAAUUAUUAGGCUAUAAAAUUUCCAUGGAAAAUCAUUCUGACCUUUUUACAUUAAAAACAUUUUAUUUUCCACACUAACGUCAUCCGAAGGAGAGGAUUAAAUUCUUAUUUGCUCUCUCCAGCUCGCAAAAUUUACCUGAACUUCGAUAUCUCUCGAAUAAGUCAGAACCGCGAAAGGCCAAAUGUCGGAAAGGUGAUAUUCGCGUUUUCGAAACGCGUUCUCGUCUAGUCGGUUAGGAUUUCGUAAAAAUAUUUGACCAUCGCAUGAAAAACGAUCGAACGUAACUCGUACACGUAGUUGUUAGAAAGAAGUUUCAGUCUGAGAUUUGCGAGGAUACGCAAAAAUAGCAAAUCCGUGGAUGGUGUCGAGUAACUUCUCGCUUGGAUAAACUCACUUCCUUCGUAUAAAUUGACUUUCUCGUUAGGAUGGGGAUGUCCGCGGGUCUUCGUAUAUAUUUUCGUCAAUAUAAAUACGCGUAUGGUGCGCGGUAAAUAAUAUCUCUAGCGAGAUGAGAGAUGCUCGUAGCCACGAGCGUCCGAUGAAAGAUAUAGCGUUCGCUUGACUGCGACUGAUAUCGAGGAUUCUCAAUAAUAGCUCAUGGAUUUCGUAUUACGUUGAGUAUGGAAAUACGUGUUAUUUAUGGGAUGAGUUACAGAUUCUAGGAGUUGGCUGGUUUUGCGUUCCGCUAUUUGCUGCUUGGAUUUAUUUAUUUAUCGUGUUUACAGGAUUUUUCGUUAUGUCAUAAACGGUGUCUCUAUAGCUUAUACACACAGAUGACGGUAUAUCAUAGUAGAUGAUUUGUUACGCGUGUUUUCUGCUGGAGCGUCCGUUAGUGACGGAUAUUGAUAUCUUAUUUUAUGAUAGUUGGUCAGCGUUCAUUUAUUUUAUGUCAUAAAUCAUAUUUAAAUAUGACGAUAUUAUUAUUAGUAAGACGCGAGAUCGUGAAUGUAUACUUUCUUGUGGCAGACUUUCAGGUUCUAAAUUAAUUAAUAUUUUAUUAUUUCAUGUUGGAAAUAUUUAGAGUAGAUUUUAUGAUCAUCUUAAAAUAAUUGAAAGAAGAAAGAAGAAAACUUGUCAUAGCACGAUAGUAGAUUCGAUUAUAUGUAAACUAGUGUUUGUUGAAUUGGAAUAUAGAAAAAACGCCUCGUCUUCCUCAUAAUUGCAAUAUGAAUAUAAAAGGAAAUGUGUGGAUUUAAGACUCGGCAGUUUAACUGAACCAUUUAUAACGCAAACGUAACGUGAAUAUAAGAUAUUAAAUCCAUUAAGGUAUCCAACUGUACGAAAUAUAUUGCAACUUCUAAAACAAGUAAUACGAUAUUAAUUGCAUCAAAAACUUAUCAUAAAGAUUCCCAUGGAGACUCACUGAAUAUGCUUUAUUAAUUGCAUCCACGCAUUACGAACUUCCAAAUCGUUUUUCUUUGAAUCGAACGCUUACAAAGCCCCAGAAGAAGAAGAAGAAAUUCCUCGUCUCCAGUUCGUUGUACCAUCCCCGUCCCCGUCUUCGUAAUACCGUCAAUUACGUUAUCUUCUGCACAACCUACUUACACUCUGAUUAAUGGAAAACAACGCCAGAAUCCAGUUAUCCGAGGCUUGUCAUUAAUAAGUAUGUUAAUUUUUACGAUCUCGCAUCCAAUACAAAAUUAACUUCCUUCUCCUCAGCUUUGCCACCACGAAAAUCUUAAUCAUUUCAUUUUAAUUCCCCCUGUGUAACUUACACGUGAAUUUGAUGAUCGAUUCGAGAUUACAUCCGUAAUAAACGGAUAAAUUCCAUAUUGACAGAAUCGCGUGAAACAACCUCGUUAUCCUCGUUUUUCGAUACUCGUACGAUGAAUCGCGAAUGAUCGUUCGUCGAUGUUAUUUUGCUGCACCGAAAAUCGUUUUCACCUGGAUGUGUACUACACGCGGAUCGGUGUCGAACUUGCCAGCGAUUUCACCGUGUCGAUUCGCCUCCUUAAUUAAUUAUGUACGCGUACGUGUUUCGAGAAAUACGGCUGCGAGGUGAGAAUCGAGGGUAAUUGGAGUUCAAGCGAUGUCGCGAUCCCGAUGAAAUUAUUAUAUCGACGGGGAACGGGCCAUCGAGACGCAAUUCGUACACGUCGGUCGAUGAAUUUAUUUUCGUUAUAUCCCGGCAUUUGUAUCGAUCGGGCCAACUUUCACCGUGGGAAACCGCGCUAUCAUGUUCAGCUUUUUUUUUUGUGUACAAAUUGAUAAAUAUAACGUGUAUGAGGAUUCAUUUGGUGGAAUUUAGUGGAAUUCUUGCGCGAAUGACUUCGUAUUUUAUCGAGGAUUUCGAUUAAUUCCUCUGUCAGUUUCUUAUGUGGGACGUUACUUACUUUCUUUUUCGUAGAACGUUCCGAUAGCUGUACAAAUGUUAUUUUUUACCUUUACAUAAUCGUAAAGUCACGGUUACUACUUUCUGUAAUAAAGCUUGUAUAUGAAGAUUUUUUCUUGAGUGCAGGAAGAAAGGAGAAGAAAGAAACAAAAGAGAAAAUGCGGUUCGACUCAUCCUGUCAUUAAUAUGACAAAAUAUUAUUUUUCUAAUUAUUCGGAUUACUGCUAUUUCCCGAAUGAAAUAAAUUUAAUUGUCUCUAGACAGUGGCGAAACGCUGAACGUUAAAGUAUCUUCCCAUCAAUGGAAAAGGAAGGUAACGAGAUUGCGUCGAAGUCAUUGCAAAUACGAAUCUAUUCGUUUAUUUUUCAAAACGAUCAAAAAAUCAAAGAUUCGAUUAAUUGAAAAGUGAAAAAUUGAAAGGUAUACGUACGUAUUACAUACUUAUGCUAUAUCAUUUCGCGCGCCUUGUAAACGAAUAGCUAGAAUGGCUCGUACUCGAAUCUAAUAAUUUAUACUUUGACGUUACACCAGGGAAAAGUUAGCUAAAGAAACGGUAGUGGAUAAAUAUUUUUCCACGGCAGGGAGAAAUAAUUCUCGCGGUAUCUGUUGCGUGUAAUUUCAUCGGAAACGUUACUUCACGUUCGAAGGCAAGAAAGAUCUAGCGGCGGCAUAAAUCUUCAUAUCGAUGUUAUACGUGUAGGCCAUUGUGAGCCAAUAGGCGACAAGUAAUAAGUUAUUUUCACGACCAUGCUUGCAAUUGUAAACGCGGACAGAAAUUUAUGACCGACGAGAGAACAAAAGUUUCCCCGGAUAUUUGAUUGGAAUGUCUUGUCUCCGCUAGUCACACCACGUGGUACACACAUUCGAUCGUAGUUUUAUUAGCAGCGAUAACUUUUACAAUUCUCCGGCGACAUCUAACAAGAAUGCGAGAUUCUUUUGUGAAAUGCGUGUAAAGCAGCAUCCAACGAUGUGUACGCACUUAUAGCUUACAAUCUUUGUUAUAGGAUUGCGAGCCUGCGAUGGAGAAAUUUAUUUAAUUAAUGGAGUAGUCUGUGAGUUUCUUAGAAAUACGUGUCCGUUGUAUCGAUUUCAAUAGCGAAGGAUUGAUCGAGGAUCGACGUUGCGUUACCGCGACGUAUUAUUUGCAAUUCUAUUCCAUCAAUUUAUAUUAUCGUUUCUUCGUAUUUUUAAAAAGGAAUUUUAAGGAUUAGUUCAAUAUUUUUUUCGUUACUAUUUCUUCCGUCUGGAUUCUACGAUUUUAUGAAAUUUACAGAAAUUAAAAUAUUUGUAACGUUAUGACAAAUUAUCGCUUAAAUGGGUUAAGUAGCUAUUAGUACGAUCCUUGCUGCGAAGAAAUUAAAGUUUGUGGCAGUAUUUUGGGAAAAUUUUUGAAUACCAUAUUGGAACGCAGAGAUUGUUUGAAAAAAAAUUGGUGGAUACAGUUGAAUUCUUAGUGUUUUUAAAGUACUAUCCUUAAAUUCACGUUCCAGGAAUUAAAAGGUGUAUCUUGCUUUACUUAAUACUAUAUUACACAUGUGCAAAGUGUUACUCUUAAAUUUCCUAAUUUACGGAGCAGUCUCGGAAGAUAAAGGUACUUUCUGAUUUCCCUAUUAAUUUGACGGAAGCACUGGUUACGUCCCAAAUAAUCAUAGUCUCCAGUGAUCUGCCGUAUGAUCCGAGCAAUAGUUUUUUUAUUGGAAUCAUCUUUCUCGGAGUUGUCAAUACGUUUAAAAUAAACGAUUCGACGCUUAAUGAUACGGAAGAAAUACAAGCCGUGAUUCCUCGUAAAUGCAUAGCGAUGCAACCGAUAUAAGUUGUUCACUGGGAAUAAUGCGUUCGCCAAACCAUAAUCAUCAAAAACACACACAAACUAAAUAACACGAUCCGAAACGAUUGAAAUCUGCAUAUCGACGAAAAAAAAAAUGACACUGCAGCGUCUCAAAAAAUCCACAAAGAUCUGCACGCCAAUUCGAAUCAGCAAUGCAAAUAUCACAAAAAAAAGAAAAAGAAAAAAAAUGUAUUAUUUCUCUGAAACAAAAAAUCUUUAAGCUGUUUAACAUACGCGGGUUCUGUAUCCGAUCCAAAUCGACGCGAUGGGCAGUCCUGGUACUGACAGUGCGCAAGAAAUAUAGUCGUAGCUAUAGGAUUAUGCGAGGCAUAAUGACUACACGUGAAACCAGGUAUCACCGCAGGUAGAAUACGUCGUUCGGCUAAUUGCACGUAAUUAUCGUUGCAAGGAUCGCUAUCAAAGACGAAAAAACAUCGAAAGAUAAAGAAGAAAGAUGAGUCUUAAAAAAAAAAAAAAAAAAAAAGAGAGAA